GGUGAGGUGUCCGAGUGGUUUAAGGAGCACGCCUGGAAAGCGUGUGUACGUUAAUAGCGUACCGAGGGUUCGAAUCCCUCUCUCACCGCCA
Molecule: transfer RNA, 91 nt
Filed under: Moraxellaceae bacterium
Lineage: Bacteria; Pseudomonadati; Pseudomonadota; Gammaproteobacteria; Moraxellales; Moraxellaceae
Also listed under: 3 other names
Description: tRNA-Ser
Rfam family: tRNA
About the family: Transfer RNA (tRNA) molecules are approximately 80 nucleotides in length.
Source: RNAcentral